AUCUAAGUAGCUUAUUUAGAGCACAGCCUUGAAGACGCUGGGGAGAUGCUUACAUCUUUAGAUA
RNAcentral lists this transfer RNA (64 nucleotides) under Anthonomus rectirostris. RNAcentral's name for it is "tRNA-Phe". The record is from RNAcentral. Lineage: Eukaryota; Metazoa; Arthropoda; Insecta; Coleoptera; Curculionidae.